This 477-nucleotide non-coding RNA is filed under the name Perkinsus marinus ATCC 50983. Its description in RNAcentral is "Eukaryotic small subunit ribosomal RNA". It matches the Rfam family "Eukaryotic small subunit ribosomal RNA", at positions 1330 to 1831 of the family's 1831-position model. Lineage: Eukaryota; Perkinsozoa; Perkinsida; Perkinsidae. The record is from Rfam by way of RNAcentral.
AACGAACGAGACCUUACCCUGCUAAAUAGUUGCGCGAAACUUUAUGUUUCGUCGCUACUUCUUAGAGGGACUUUGUGUGUUUACACAAGGAAGCUGAGGGCAAUAACAGGUCUGUGAUGCCCUUAGAUGUUCUGGGCUGCACGCGCGCUACACUGACACGAUCAACAAGUAUUUCCUUGCCCGGUAGGGUUAGGGUAAUCUUUUGAAAUCGUGUCGUGCUAGGGAUAGACGAUUGCAAUUAUUCGUCUUCAACGAGGAAUUCCUAGUAAAUGCAAGUCAUCAGCUUGCGUUGAUUACGUCCCUGCCCUUUGUACACACCGCCCGUCGCUCCUACCGAUUGAGUGAUCCGGUGAGCUGUCCGGACUGCGAUUAGUUCAGUUUCUGUUCUCUUCGCGGGAAGUUCUGCAAACCUUAUCACUUAGAGGAAGGAGAAGUCGUAACAAGGUUUCCGUAGGUGAACCUGCGGAAGGAUCAUUC